GGGGGGGGGGGGGGGGGGGGGUGGGGGGGGGAGGUCGGGCGGGGGGGCGGGGGGGGGGUGGGCUGACGGGGGGGGGGGGGCGGGGGGGUGGGGUAGGCAUCGGGAGCUGCGUUGUCGUGGGGGGUAGCGGAGGGAGAGUGACGCUAGUACCGCAUACGACCUACGGGUGGGAGCAGGGGAUCUUCGGCCCUUGCGCGAUUGAAUGAGCCGAUGUCGGAUUAGCUAGUUGGCGGGGUAAAGGCCCACCAAGGCGACGAUCCGUAGCUGGUCUGAGAGGAGGAUCAGCCACACUGGAACUGAGACACGGUCCAGACUCCGACGGGAGGCAGCAGUGGGGAAUAUUGGACAAUGGGCGCAAGCCUGAUCCAGCCAUACCGCGUGGGUGAAGAAGGCCUUCGGGUUGUAAAGCCCUGUUGUUGGGAAAGAAAAGCAGCCGGUUAAUACCCCGCUGUUAUGACGGUACCCAAAGAAUAAGCACCGGCUAACUUCGUG
RNAcentral lists this ribosomal RNA (492 nucleotides) under uncultured bacterium. RNAcentral describes it as "partial 16S ribosomal RNA". The stretch from base 55 to 492 matches the Rfam family "Bacterial small subunit ribosomal RNA", at positions 39 to 507 of the family's 1533-position model. The record is from RNAcentral.